GAGUCGCUCUGGACGCCGCCGGCGAGAGGGGUCUGGAAAUCGGCCAGGAUCAUCGGGGUGCCCAGCGUCAGGUGGUGUUGGUUCGCCUUGUCCGAUCUAACAAAGGUGUCGAAAAAGAAGUAGGGGUGCGCCACGCCGGCAGCGGAGGCGGCGGUCGCGAAGGGCUGGAAGGGGAACCGCGCGCCGCGGCGGAGGAGGUCAAGAUCGAGGGAAGGAAGAAGGGGCUGGGCCAUCGGUGGUACGGCGGCCUCCCGGCUGGAGGACUCGACGGUGCUGCUCUGGCUGCUCGGGCUCCCGGCUGCUCCACCGCCUCCGCCGCCGCUGGGGCUCUGGUAGGCGUCCGGGUAGGGAAAGUUCGUCUUCGCCUUGGAUCCGCGGAAUUCCCGGGCGGCGGCGUCGUACGCCCUGGCGGCCUCCUCCGCGGUGUCGAAAGUCCCCAGCCACACCCGGCUCUUCUUCCCGGGAUCCCGUAUCUCCGCCGCG
RNAcentral lists this long non-coding RNA (483 nucleotides) under Elaeis guineensis (African oil palm). Its description in RNAcentral is "long non-coding RNA (EGUI_LNC060016)". Lineage: Eukaryota; Viridiplantae; Streptophyta; Magnoliopsida; Arecales; Arecaceae. The record is from RNAcentral.